RNAcentral lists this ribosomal RNA (491 nucleotides) under Pseudomonas sp. DsA.N022. Its description in RNAcentral is "bacterial SSU rRNA". It matches the Rfam family "Bacterial small subunit ribosomal RNA", at positions 54 to 541 of the family's 1533-position model. Lineage: Bacteria; Pseudomonadati; Pseudomonadota; Gammaproteobacteria; Pseudomonadales; Pseudomonadaceae. The record is from RNAcentral.
CAUGCACGUCGAGCGGAUGACGGGAGCUUGCUCCUUGAUUCAGCGGCGGACGGGUGAGUAAUGCCUAGGAAUCUGCCUGGUAGUGGGGGACAACGUUUCGAAAGGAACGCUAAUACCGCAUACGUCCUACGGGAGAAAGCAGGGGACCUUCGGGCCUUGCGCUAUCAGAUGAGCCUAGGUCGGAUUAGCUAGUAGGUGAGGUAAUGGCUCACCUAGGCGACGAUCCGUAACUGGUCUGAGAGGAUGAUCAGUCACACUGGAACUGAGACACGGUCCAGACUCCUACGGGAGGCAGCAGUGGGGAAUAUUGGACAAUGGGCGAAAGCCUGAUCCAGCCAUGCCGCGUGUGUGAAGAAGGGCUUCGGAUUGUAAAGCACUUUAAGUUGGGAGGAAGGGCAGUAAGUUAAUCCCUUGCUGUUUUGACGUUUCCGACAGAAUAUCACCGGCUAACUCUGUGCCAGCAGCCGCGGUAAUACAAAUGGUGCAAGCGU